GGGUGAGUGGUGGAACUGGUAGACACGAGGGACUUAAAAUCCCUUGGCUCAUAGUAGCCGUGCGGGUUCAAGUCCCGCCUCGCCCA
Molecule: transfer RNA, 86 nt
Filed under: PVC group bacterium (ex Bugula neritina AB1)
Lineage: Bacteria; Pseudomonadati
Description: tRNA-Leu
Rfam family: tRNA
About the family: Transfer RNA (tRNA) molecules are approximately 80 nucleotides in length.
Source: RNAcentral